ACGUAGGUGGCAAGCGUUGUCCGGAUUUAUUGGGCGUAAAGCGAGCGCAGGCGGUUUCUUAAGUCUGAUGUGAAAGCCUUCGGCUCAACCGGAGAAGUGCAUCGGAAACUGGGAAACUUGAGUGCAGAAGAGGAGAGUGGAAUUCCAUGUGUAGCGGUGAAAUGCUUAGAUAUAUGGAAGAACACCAGUGGCGAAGGCGGCUAUCUGGACUGUAACUGACGCUGAGGCACGAAAGCGUGGGUAGCAAACAG
Molecule: ribosomal RNA, 251 nt
Filed under: uncultured prokaryote
Description: partial 16S rRNA
Rfam family: Bacterial small subunit ribosomal RNA
Source: RNAcentral